Acipenser ruthenus (sterlet) is the source of this 267-nucleotide long non-coding RNA. RefSeq lists it as uncharacterized. The record is from RefSeq and is a predicted model, not a curated record. Lineage: Eukaryota; Metazoa; Chordata; Actinopteri; Acipenseriformes; Acipenseridae. The transcript is spliced from 3 exons.
CAAGAAACGUUGGAAUAAGGUAUACUUUUUGUAAACUAUGCAGAACUGAUUUUAACGGUGGGACAGGGGAGCAAGAACGCUGUUUGUGUGGAAGCCCAGUGAUUGCAGGGUACACUUCAGCCCCCAGGCCUGCUCCCUUGAGAUCGUACAGCCAGAAGUAAGAAGUCCUGCCCGGAUUUCCUUUUCUGCAGCACCAGACGAAGGAGGGUGAUGGAGAAAACCAUGGCAACUAAAAACACAGCAACCCAAAUCGGGGUCCACACACCC